RNAcentral lists this ribosomal RNA (252 nucleotides) under uncultured bacterium. Its description in RNAcentral is "partial 16S ribosomal RNA". It matches the Rfam family "Bacterial small subunit ribosomal RNA", at positions 524 to 776 of the family's 1533-position model. The record is from RNAcentral.
UACGUAGGGUGCAAGCGUUAAUCGGAAUUACUGGGCGUAAAGCGUGCGCAGGCGGUUGUGCAAGACAGAUGUGAAAGCCCCGGGCUCAACCUGGGAAUUGCAUUCGAGACUGCUCUGCUAGGGUGCGGAAGAGGGAAGCGGAAUUUCCGGUGUAGCGGUGAAAUGCGUAGAUAUCGGAAGGAACACCAGUGGCGAAAGCGGCUUCCUGGUCCAGCACCGACGUCAGGCACGAAAGCGUGGGGAGCAAACAGG